CAGCCCACUCCUUUUCUUUUCCCAUUAAUGUUUCCAGCCCACUUUUAGAUUCCCAGGCCCAUCUUUCCCAGCCUAGCUUACACCUUAACCCGACCCAACAACGUUUAUUCCCAGCCCUUUCCUUCGACCCAUCACUAUGUUGUCUUCUUCCUCUUCGCGACCCCGUCUCGCUUACGCGCAGAAACGCCAUUCUCUCUAAUAGACCUUUUCUUCCCUCUCUCGCGCAAGUCAAUAGAAACCAGUCCAUCGCGCGUGGAGGAAGGAGGCAACAACGGAUACCUGCACUUUGCUGAUGCCGUACGACCUCUGCAACACACAAGACGACGCGAAAUUGUCCUUGGCAUUGUAGGAUCGAGCCACAUCGCUUGCCAAGGACGAGGGAUCGAUCUCAACCCUCCACCUCCCCUUAAUUCCGUCCGAAUCGCGUGGAUUUUGGAUAAGGUUUUGAAAUUCGAAUUCCAAAUGGGCCGAAAGUCUUGGAAUUUCCUCGUCCUGCCCCCAAAAUCGAAAACCCUAGUAAUUCCCCUAUAAAUACCCUUUGCUUCGUUGGUUUCAGGGGAGAAUUUUUUUUUUUAUAGAAAGAUAUAUACAGAGGAUUUUUUUUUGUUUUUUGGGAAAAGAAAUUGUUCCAAACCCGGAAUUCUCUCUCGAAUUCUUUGCUACUGUGUACGUGCCGUUGCGUCGUCUUAUCUCAACUCGUCCUGUCCGCGGUAUCGCUGCUCGAAACAAGGUUCGAGCAAGCUUCAAGCUGGUCAGUACAAAGUAUGCAAGCGUUCCUCAUCUCUCGAUGUUCUUAAUUCUUACUCGUUUAGUUAUGGUUUGUGUUCUUCCGUCUAGAAUUUGUUUGAUAGUUGUUAGUAUAGCUUGCUUUAUAUUUUGUAAAUCAGUUAUCUAUUAGUGUUUUUUUUUUUUUGCAUGGUUCGGGUAGUGAAGACAUAUAUAUAUACAAAGCAUAUUUGAUACUUUAUCAUCUAUUGUCAUGCCCAGUAUUUGUUUGAAAUACCCCUUUGGAAAAUUUAAAUUUAUUUGGGUUAUCCUUAUACCUUAGCAGUUGCCUUGAUGUUGUUUAAGCCCUUCUGUGGGUCAUUAAUUGUAUGCACCCAUGAGUAUGAUUAUAGUUGGCAGUAUAUGCAUUUUCCUCCUUUUUUUUUAGGUUUGGAUGGUGCCAUCUUUGGUUUACAUGGGUUUCCUUUAGAACCAUGCAUUCUUGCUUAUUGCGUAAUGGUUUGUAAAGUUUGCUUUAGUUCAAGACAUGUUUCGUUGUUAUAUUAUCUCAUGGGCUAAUCCAUUUUUGUUUUAUUGCAUGUGAAACUAUUCUCGAGUCCUCAUGGACUUCGCUCCAAUCCCUUGCACUUUCUCGUUGAGCCAUAAAGGAUCAAAACAUCCUCCCCGAGUCGUAGACCCUCUCAAAACUGGUGUACAGGUCGAAAACAGCAAAUAUGGUGCUGUAAAAUUAUAUUUUCAGGUGUUGAAGAAGCCGUAUACCAGCUAUAUACAUAUUUUAUACACCCAUAUACAGGUCAAAAUACGUACAGGAAGCCAAAUGCGAAACCUGAGUUGAUAACAGUCCAGAUAUACUUCUGGAAAUUAUUUUUCUGCUGUCGAAAGUUGAAGAACAGGUCGAUAUACAACCUGUAUACACUGAUAUACAAAUGUUUUAUACCAAAUAGGUGUAAAAAAUACGAAUUGCAGGUUUAACGUACAGGGAUGCCGAAUUUGAGUAAAAUUCAGGAACAACGAAUUAAAACGCGCAUAGGGUACAAAUGCGCUGAAAUAAUAUGGAAAAUAUAGGUGGAAUCGCGAGAAUUCAUUUUCAAACAAAAUACAGGGCUCAAAAAGUCCAAAAUGGACCGGAUAUAUAUAUCGUAUACAGCGGUAUACAUCAGUUAUAUACCCUAAUUCUCUUUUUUCAGGAAAAAUGGGCCAGGGCCCAUCAACAGAAUUUAAGGAAAUAGGCCCAAAGGCCAUAUAUUGUUUCAGACAUGAUUUGAAUUGUUGAAAAGGGCCCAAGCCUAUAUUCUUGAAAUAUGUAGUGUAGGACAGGUGGGCCAAAGCCCAAUUUACUGAAUUUUGGCAAUUAGCCCAAGUUCAAAUAAUAUUCCCUUCUCACCCUCUUUUAUUUAUUAUUGAUUUGGAUUGACUAACAUUUGGUGGAAUUUUAUUAAUCUCUUAAAGGGCCACCAUUUUUUGUAUAACUUACAUAAAUGCCAUAGUGUAAAAUCUAAAUUACCUUCUA
Solanum lycopersicum (tomato) is the source of this 2236-nucleotide non-coding RNA. The record is from RefSeq and is a predicted model, not a curated record. Lineage: Eukaryota; Viridiplantae; Streptophyta; Magnoliopsida; Solanales; Solanaceae.